AAGUCGUAACAAGGUUUCCGUAGGUGAACCUGCGGAAGGAUCAUUAGUGAAAAUUUGGGAUGGGCGCGCGGCAGCACGCCAAUAAACUGAAUUAUGAAUAUGGUGCCGCGCGCCAACAACACCCCAUCUUCUCAAUCCACACACACUUGUGCAUCGUACGGUUGAUCAGGAUCAUGGCGUUUUCGGCGGCGGGAUCUCUCGCGGGAUCCCGGGCCGGAUCGCCAUGUUCAUACUCUUCUACACACACUCUACUUUACCAUUAUUAUUUCUAAUCGAGGUUACGACCUUGCAUCAAACAACAUUUAUACAACUGUUGGCAACGGAUCACUCGACUCUU
This 337-nucleotide unclassified non-coding RNA is filed under the name fungal sp. RNAcentral describes it as "partial internal transcribed spacer region". The stretch from base 1 to 46 matches the Rfam family "Eukaryotic small subunit ribosomal RNA", at positions 1786 to 1831 of the family's 1831-position model. The record is from RNAcentral. Lineage: Eukaryota; Fungi.